RNAcentral lists this ribosomal RNA (465 nucleotides) under Vreelandella stevensii. RNAcentral describes it as "partial 16S ribosomal RNA". It matches the Rfam family "Bacterial small subunit ribosomal RNA", at positions 338 to 795 of the family's 1533-position model. Lineage: Bacteria; Pseudomonadati; Pseudomonadota; Gammaproteobacteria; Oceanospirillales; Halomonadaceae. The record is from RNAcentral.
CCUACGGGUGGCAGCAGUGGGGAAUAUUGGACAAUGGGCGAAAGCCUGAUCCAGCCAUGCCGCGUGUGUGAAGAAGGCCUUCGGGUUGUAAAGCACUUUCAGUGGGGAAGAAAGCCUUGGGGCUAAUACCCUCGAGGAAGGACAUCACCCACAGAAGAAGCACCGGCUAACUCCGUGCCAGCAGCCGCGGUAAUACGGAGGGUGCGAGCGUUAAUCGGAAUUACUGGGCGUAAAGCGCGCGUAGGCGGUCUGAUAAGCCGGUUGUGAAAGCCCCGGGCUCAACCUGGGAACGGCAUCCGGAACUGUCAGGCUAGAGUGCAGGAGAGGAAGGUAGAAUUCCCGGUGUAGCGGUGAAAUGCGUAGAGAUCGGGAGGAAUACCAGUGGCGAAGGCGGCCUUCUGGACUGACACUGACGCCGAGGUGCGAAAGCGUGGGUAGCAAACAGGAUUAGAUACCCCUGUAGUC